Molecule: ribosomal RNA, 564 nt
Filed under: uncultured bacterium
Lineage: Bacteria
Description: bacterial SSU rRNA
Rfam family: Bacterial small subunit ribosomal RNA
Source: RNAcentral
CCUACGGGAGGCAGCAGUGGGGAAUAUUGCACAAUGGGCGAAAGCCUGAUGCAGCGAUGCCGCGUGCGGGAAGAAGGCCUUAGGGUUGUAAACCGCUUUCAGUAGGGAAGAAAAUGACGGUACCUACAGAAGAAGGUGCGGCCAACUACGUGCCAGCAGCCGCGGUGACACGUAGGCACCAAGCGUUGUCCGGAUUUAUUGGGCGUAAAGAGCUCGUAGGCGGUUUGGUAAGUCGGGUGUGAAAACUCUGGGCUCAACCCAGAGAGGCCACUCGAUACUGCUAUGACUUGAGUACGGUAGGGGAGUGGGGAAUUUCUAGUGUAGCGGUGAAAUGCGCAGAUAUUAGAAGGAACACCAGUGGCGAAGGCGCCACUCUGGGCCGUAACUGACGCUGAGGAGCGAAAGCAUGGGUAGCAAACAGGAUUAGAUACCCUGGUAGUCCAUGCCGUAAACGUUGGGCACUAGGUGUGGGUCUCAACCAACGAGAUCCGCGCCGUCGCUAACGCAUUAAGUCGCCCCGCCGUGGGGAGUACGGUCGCAAGACUAAAACUUAAGGAAUUGACG